AUGGUUGUCGGUGUGGUGUUCUUCCUCUUGGCCGUGCUUCUAGCAGCGGCGGUCACUGGGGGCAGCGCGGCGCUCGUUGAGCAUACGUUUGUCGUGAGCCAGAUGAAGCUGAAUCACAUGUGCAACGAUACGCUUGUCACCGUGGUGAACGGGCAACUCCCCGGGCCGGCAUUAGAGGUCAGGGAAGGAGACUCUGUGGUGGUUCAUGUCAUCAACAAGUCGCCCCAUGGAGUCACAAUUCACUGGNNNNNNNNNAAGCAACAGCUCAACUGCUGGGCUGAUGGGGCAGGGAUGAUCACCCAAUGCCCAAUCCAGCCAAGCAAGAACUUCACAUACCGGUUCAACGUAAAUGGCCAAGAGGGCACGCUGUGGUGGCACGCGCACGUCGCUUGCCUCCGUGCAACCAUCCAUGGAGCCUUGAUCAUACGACCAAGAUCUGGUCUCGACUCAUACCCGUUUCCAGUACCUGACAAGGAGAUCCCCAUUAUUAUAGGUGAAUGGCGGGAGACAGAUCUUGUGGAGUUAGAUAGGAGAUUCGGGAGAAGUAACUAUGCCGAUCUGCCCCGUUCAUCUAUGAUCAAUGGGAAGCUUGGGGACCUCAAUAAGUGUUCUGGGGUCACAGAAGAGAACUAUGUUCUUAAUAUGGAGCAUGGCCGGACGUAUCUGUUACGGAUAGUGAACGCUGCGCUCCACCCGCAGUACUACUUCAAGAUCGCCGGGCAUACGUUCACGGUGGUGGCUACGGAUGCCAACUACGUCAAACCCUACACGACGGACACCAUCGCCAUCGCGCCAGGCGAGACCGUCGACGCGCUGGUCGUCGCUGACGCUGCACCUCCCGGCGGCAGAUUUUACAUGGUCGCCCUGGGCAUCAUCUCGUUGGGGCCUUCCCAGACACGGCCGGUGUUCAUUUCACGAGGAGUCGUGUCCUACACCGCCAACGACCCAAGCAAAGAAAUAUCAGACGAUACUGAUUCGAUAAUGGUCCCUGAGAUGCCAGACUUUCGUGAAGAAACCACAUCCUUCUACUUCCAUGGCAACCUGACCAGCCUGCGGCGGCCGCAGCCAGUGCCGGCAGACGUUGACGUGCGGCUGCUCAUUGCUGUAGACACGGGGAACUUGUGCAGACAAGGCAGUGUACCAUCAGCACCAUCCUACUGCAUGGUGACCCGCAUGAACAACAUCUCCUUCCAGCUUCCGGCGGCGACAUCGCUCCUCCAAGCACAUUACAACGAGGAUAUCGCAAUGAUCAACGCGUUGGAGGACUUCCCAAGCAGGCCACCGGCGAGGAUGGUGUUCGACCAGGGCCACACGUCAAAAGCAACGUACGUCAGUGUGGAGGGUGCGGUACAACGCCACAGUGGAGAUCGUUUUUCAGGGACCGCCGACGACGCCCAGCUACUCUAA
This 1407-nucleotide ribosomal RNA is filed under the name Triticum aestivum (bread wheat). RNAcentral's name for it is "partial small subunit ribosomal RNA". Lineage: Eukaryota; Viridiplantae; Streptophyta; Magnoliopsida; Poales; Poaceae. The record is from RNAcentral.